AAGGGCGACUGAAGUGUCAAAAGCUCAAGAUUUAAAUCAGACUGUCUGAGUUGUGGUCUAAACUCUUUUGCAUUAAAUCAAAGUUUCUUGGAAGAGGACAGCAAAGAAGGUGAAACUCCUGUUUGAUUGGGAGAGAGAAAGAGUCGAGUUGUUUGGGAUUUCAGCUCUAAGAUGGUGGUAAAUUUUAUCGAAAGCUAAAUAUUCUAUGAAAAACCGAUAGUGUACAAGUACCGUGAGGGAAAGAUGCAAAGAACUUUGAAAAGAGAGUUAAAGAGUACCUGAAAUUGUUGAAAAUGAAGCACAUGAAACUAGUGAUGCUGAAACAUUUUUCUUUGUUUGCUUGCAUUCAAGGCAUUGUGUCCAGUGAUGUAGAUCUUAGC
RNAcentral lists this ribosomal RNA (380 nucleotides) under Pinnularia acrosphaeria. RNAcentral describes it as "eukaryotic LSU rRNA". It matches the Rfam family "Eukaryotic large subunit ribosomal RNA", at positions 85 to 510 of the family's 3401-position model. The record is from RNAcentral. Lineage: Eukaryota; Bacillariophyta; Bacillariophyceae; Sellaphorales; Pinnulariaceae.